UGGGGAGUAGCCAAGUGGUAAGGCACGGGACUUUGACUCCCGGAGCGCAGGUUCGAUCCCUGCCUCCCCAACCA
Molecule: transfer RNA, 74 nt
Filed under: Chloroflexota bacterium
Lineage: Bacteria; Bacillati; Chloroflexota
Description: Chloroflexi bacterium tRNA-Gln
Rfam family: tRNA
About the family: Transfer RNA (tRNA) molecules are approximately 80 nucleotides in length.
Source: RNAcentral